This 459-nucleotide ribosomal RNA is filed under the name uncultured bacterium. RNAcentral describes it as "partial 16S ribosomal RNA". It matches the Rfam family "Bacterial small subunit ribosomal RNA", at positions 338 to 795 of the family's 1533-position model. The record is from RNAcentral.
CCUACGGGAGGCAGCAGUGAGGAAUAUUGGUCAAUGGCCGCAGGGCUGAACCAGCCAAGUCGCGUGAGGGAUGACGGUCCUAUGGAUUGUAAACCUCUUUUGUCAGGGAGCAAAGGGCGCCACGUGUGGCGCUUUGCGAGUACCUGAAGAAAAAGCAUCGGCUAACUCCGUGCCAGCAGCCGCGGUAAUACGGAGGAUGCGAGCGUUAUCCGGAUUUAUUGGGUUUAAAGGGUGCGCAGGCGGAAUGUCAAGUCAGCGGUAAAAUUUCGGGGCUCAACCCCGUCGUGCCGUUGAAACUGGCGUUCUUGAGUGAGCGAGAGGUAUGCGGAAUGCGUGGAGUAGCGGUGAAAUGCAUAGAUAUCACGCAGAACUCCGAUUGCGAAGGCAGCAUACCGGCGCUCAACUGACGCUCAUGCACGAGAGCGUGGGUAUCGAACAGGAUUAGAUACCCGAGUAGUC